Long non-coding RNA from Aquila chrysaetos chrysaetos, 4004 nucleotides. RefSeq lists it as uncharacterized. NCBI's taxonomy places the organism in Eukaryota, Metazoa, Chordata, Aves, Accipitriformes, Accipitridae. The transcript has 2 exons. The record is from RefSeq and is a predicted model, not a curated record.
GAUAGCUACAGCAAAGCAGAAAAAGGGUCAGUCAGCAUCCAAAGGUAGCAAUGAUUCUGCUUUCCCCCUAGACUGACUGCUAGAAGUAAAUUGUCAGGACUAUCUGUGAAUCACCUUUAGGCAAGUGGAUGGAGCUUAUGAGUUUGUCCAUUUGCCACAGAGGCACUCAGAAAAACUCCGCAGCUUUCCCUGUCUCCCUCCCACACCUUGCUGUGUUUUGGAACAGCGAGACAAGAUGCCAGGAAGCCAGAACAAGGACUGGGUCUCAGGGCAGUGAAAGAAAACACGGUGUCUUGGGGCAAGGUCUCUCACUGCUCUCCAGCUAUGUGACACAUGGCAAUGCCGUGCCAAAAGUUGGGGCCAAUGGCUGAGUUUGGCAGCACACUUUACCAUUAGCCAGCAAGGCAACCUAUGGUGACUAGUGUUAAUUCUUAGUUCCAGUAAAGUGUUCAGAAACAGCCCUGUUUCUCCCAUAUUCUCUGGCUCCAGCCCACCUUCCCGUUUAGAACAACUCUGCACAAACUGUUCCAGAUAAGCCUUCUGUCCUUUGUAAAAGGCUCUUUAGCGUGGCUAAAUGCAGGCAAAGGACUUGCUUCUGUUUGCCUAGCUUCAAAAUUAAUUUGUCAUAUUUACUCAGGGGGUGAAUGGCUUCACUAGUUAUCAUCUGUAAAGUGAAUCCUGGCUGGAAGCUACAAAGAACUGAGCCUUUCCACUAUGCCUGCGCAGAAUCGAUUGAGGUACGUGUAAUCAAUCAGGUGGCAAGAGGAGAGGGCAAAGCAUUCACCAAACUAUGCAAGCAAAUGCAAUUUACAAUGAAGAGAAACAACCAUCUGUCUAGCCCAGAGAUAAAGAAGAAUUACAGACUGAAUAAUGUUUAACCGAAUCUCUCAGACCUGGGGAGAAACAGAAAUACCCUAUUCUUGAGGCACACAGCUGCUAAUCAGACUGCUACACUCUUCAACUUCAUCUCAUCCAAAAUGGCUUUGCUCAAUACCCAUAAAAAGCACUGUUGUGCAACAGAAUUUGAACAGGCAAGCAUGAUACUGUGAAUGUUUUACUCCAUUCAUUGCUAAGGUGGCGGGGGCAAGGUGCCUGUCCUUGCCCUACACUGUCCCACACGCUAUUCAAAGACAAGGACUGGUAUCACUUUCUUCCAUUUAGUGCUUCUAUCUGCAGCCUCUCCACCUGGCACUGUCCUUCUCCCAACAUACUCCACCCCCACGGGCUUGUCUCCAAUUUUCCAAAGCACCUGGUACCCACCUGGCACCCAUGUGGCAAAGUUUGGAGGGAGUGGUGGUGGCAUAAGCAACAGCCGAGCGUGGCACAAGCCACAGCCAAGCGUGGCACGGUAGCGUAUGCAUGGUGUGCUGCACAACUUUUUCUGGCAAUCCUCUGUCAGUAAUGAACAUGUUUGUAGCUUGGGCUUGUUGUGGCUUGUUACCACCUCAUCCAGAGAAUAAUACCUAGUUUUGUUUUCUUUCAUAACCUAAAGAGAGAAAAAAAUCCAUGUACCUAUAUGUAAAUUUCCAGUUUGUGAGAAUGUAUUUGCAACACUUCUUUACCCUCAGGUGGAAAGAAAAUCAUGUUAUCCAGCCCACUGAGCAGGUGUGUGUGGAGGGCAGGGGCAAACCCUGGUGAAAGGUAAUGAGGCUGUGAUCUGCCUCACAUCCCUGAGAAGAGAAAUCCAGGUGAGUACCAUCUAAAAUGCCUAAAAUGCUACCUUUUCUUCAAAUAAUUAUUAGAGAUAACCCCAGCAUUGGUGGGCCUGCACCCACCUCCUAUUAAGAGUUCAGUCCUGUAUUGUCUAUGCCCUGGAGCUAUAUAGCACAAGCCACAGAUAACCUGUCCAGAGCCACUGCUGUCUGUUCUGGAUAGAUAAUAGCAGGAGACAAGAAAUGCUCGAGUCUUAAGCUCUGCUACCAAUGCUGGCCUCCCAGGUCUCUGUUGGUCUCUUCCCUGCAGACCCACAGAGGAGAUAAAUCACCUCUGUGGUCUGACACCCUUCACUCUUCCUUCCCCAAAGUGGCCCCUCUCUGGGUGACACGGAAUGGGCGAGUGGUAUGAGCAGGGGCAUGGAGAGGCACCUGUGAAGGUAGCUUUCUCAGCAAGGCAAAACCUAGGGGCCCAAGGGAAGGUUUUUGUGACUUCUUCCCCCUCCUUUUUUUCAGCUAGGGGAUAAGGCAGCCCUUCAGCAGUCCUCUCCCCUCCACAGAACCUGACAGCCACCUCUGCCUACCUCCUCCCAGCCAGGGGGCUCGGGGCCUUCCAGCAGCCCCACUGGCUUUCCCUGCCCUCUCCAGCUGUGGAGAGCAAGGCUGCUCGCCGAGAGCCCCAGAAGGAAAAUGGGGGUGGAAAUCAUGAAAUACCUGUUCUGCUCCCUGCAUUGUGCCUUCCUCUUGGACAGAAAACAUUCAUCUCGAGAACUGCCACACUGUCUCCUUCUGACAGCACUAAAUCAUCUUAAAAAUAAAGUGCUCACUAACUGAAAUGGAGCCUUGUCUCCAUCCCUUUGCAGUGAGGGGAGAGAGAAAGGAAGGAGAAGUGCAAAGAAUGCCCAAGUGCUUUGGGAUGAAAAUACAUAGUUCAGGAAUCAGAGCAGCCCUAAGCAUUACAAAAAUAGCUCAUCAUUUGGAUCCUAUGAUGAUACUGGAUGUGCAUCUAGCACUGAGUCAGAGAGAUCUCAUUUCUUUACAAGGCUGUUGCUCUCAUUCUUGGCCAUAAAGCCAUGUAAAUAACAUAUGGUACAAACAGCGUCACUGAAACCUGCCAAAGUUUUGAAAUACCUACAAGUUAACUACUAAAACCAAGCCACCUGUCCAGUGACUUCUACUUGAGCUGUUCCAGUUCAUCAUCCCUAUAUUAUUAUAAUAUGUUGAUGGAACACCAUAAAGGUACGUAGUCAGAUAAGACAUUCCUCCUGCCCUGAAGAAAUUACCCUCUAAAGAAGAUGAGCGCACACAAGGCAAAACCCCUCAAGAGGUAGCUUAUCUGAGCCUCAGCGGUUGCUUGGAGAAGGAGGACUGACGGAAACAUUUCCAGAGCAGCUUCUGCUUUGUGGUUAGCUGUGUGAACAUGGGAGAAGGAUGGUGACGUGUAUUUUAUUGUGGUUGGAGAAACAGCUUGGGCCUGUCCUAUGCAAGAGGAUUUCUGAGAGUUCUCUGAAUAGCCUGGAUACUUGUCAACCUAAUGACAUAACCAAUAGCUGCUUAAUUGAGACUCUAUUAACUCUUUUUUUCUGCAGGUUAGUUGUCUGGCUACUAAUUUCCUGUUGCAAUGGGUCCCUUCUUACUGCAGGGCCCAAAGAUCCUUCCAGGCUCUGGUUCUCUAACUGUUUCUGUAGAAGUUUAGCCACUCUGGUCUGUUCCUCUCUAUGCUCCUCUCUGGGAACUUGGCCCACUUGGUAGGAGGCUUUAAAGAAGCCAGCUUUCACUGGGUUCUUCCGAGCAGUCAGCAUCAGAACUGGCAGAGCUUUUCUUGGGUGUUCCCUGGCACCCUGUAAAUGGUGAGCUGCUAGGUGGCGAGCGAACAGAAUCCUCUCAGAAAACAGCAAAGAGGAGAAGGAAAGCAACCCCACCCAAAGGCUGAGAGUGACCCUGCUGGAAGUCACAAAGACCCCUGGACUCACUCUUCCUCAUGCCCCUCUUGCUGCUUCUACCCCAGACGUGCAGGAGAGCUGUUUAUGCACCUCAUGAAAUUGCAUCAUUAAGCCCUUCAUUACGUAAGCAUCAACAGGCAAUAUGAGGUGAAGAUAUGAUGGCACAGCUAAAGCAUCUGCUAUGGAGUCAGGACUUCCAGCUGCUAUAUCAAGCUUUCCCACUGACCUGGGGUAAGGUAAUCAAGAGACUCCUCAAAAUCUGGGAAGCUGCUUUUUCACAGGACUGCUCUGGCUUGCUCUCUAAAUUCAGAUCUGCACUGCACAGAUCUGCAAAAGAAUGCAGGCAUAUAGCACAAAAAUUACAUGAGAUUUAGACACUGAAGUAAAAACUUAACCCGAAACAAUCUCA